Molecule: ribosomal RNA, 491 nt
Filed under: uncultured bacterium
Lineage: Bacteria
Description: partial 16S ribosomal RNA
Rfam family: Bacterial small subunit ribosomal RNA
Source: RNAcentral
AGUGAACGCUGGCGGUAGGCCUAACACAUGCAAGUCGAACGGCAGCACAGUAAGAGCUUGCUCUUACGGGUGGCGAGUGGCGGACGGGUGAGGAAUACAUCGGAAUCUACUUUUUCGUGGGGGAUAACGUAGGGAAACUUACGCUAAUACCGCAUACGACCUACGGGUGAAAGCAGGGGAUCUUCGGACCUUGCGCGAUUGAAUGAGCCGAUGUCGGAUUAGCUAGUUGGCGGGGUAAAGGCCCACCAAGGCGACGAUCCGUAGCUGGUCUGAGAGGAUGAUCAGCCACACUGGAACUGAGACACGGUCCAGACUCCUACGGGAGGCAGCAGUGGGGAAUAUUGGACAAUGGGCGCAAGCCUGAUCCAGCCAUACCGCGUGGGUGAAGAAGGCCUUCGGGUUGUAAAGCCCUUCUGUUGGGAAAGAAAAGCAGCAGGUUAAUACCCCGCUGUUCUGACGGUACCCAAAGAAUAAACACCGGCUAACUUCGU